Coregonus clupeaformis (lake whitefish) is the source of this 290-nucleotide long non-coding RNA. RefSeq lists it as uncharacterized. The record is from RefSeq and is a predicted model, not a curated record. The transcript is spliced from 2 exons. Lineage: Eukaryota; Metazoa; Chordata; Actinopteri; Salmoniformes; Salmonidae.
GCUGCAGCUCAUUGGCACCAAUCAAGCAGCAGAUAUCUACCCGGGCUGGACACCUCUCCAGCGCCAGUUCGUUCCUACACUUCCAGUGAUCUCUUCUGUUCCUGCUGCCUGCCUGCCUGCCUGCCAUUCCCACGCCGCUACCUGAUCCUCUGUUGCCUGACAUCCUCGUUAUCCAGCUCUCAGGACUACUGGCUCUCCACCCCACUCAGCUCCUACCCCAGCCUGAAGCUACUUCACCCUGACUACUUCUCUCUGCCAAUACACGUUGAAUAAACUACAUCCUAAUUUUA